This 426-nucleotide long non-coding RNA is filed under the name Citrus x clementina. RNAcentral describes it as "Citrus clementina (C. clementina) long non-coding RNA (CCLE_LNC003150)". The record is from RNAcentral. Lineage: Eukaryota; Viridiplantae; Streptophyta; Magnoliopsida; Sapindales; Rutaceae.
GUGGCCUUUUUCCGCAGCACGAACUUGGCACCCCGGCCUUCGGGCGGUUAUUUUUGGGAGCGGCUUUGCCCGCGGCCUAUUUUUGGCACACGGAGGCCCCUCGCAAAGUCUCGCGGCAUUCCGAGUCCGGCGGACGAAGUUCGCCAACCCCACCCCCCAAGGCUAUAGCCCACCCAUUUUUGUGGCCUUGUUCCGCUGGACGAACUUGGCGCCCCGCCCUUCGGGCGGUUAUUUUUGGACGCGGCUUGGGCCGCGGCCUAGUUUUGGCAUACGGAGGCCCAUCGGAAUGUCUCGCGGCAUUCCGAGUCCGGCGGACGAAGUUGGCCAGCCUCACCCCCAAGGCUAUACCCCACCCGUUUUUGUGGCCUUUUUCCGCUGGACGAACCUGGCGCCCCGGCCUUCGGGCGGUUAAUUUUGGGCGCGGCN